This 1464-nucleotide ribosomal RNA is filed under the name uncultured prokaryote. RNAcentral's name for it is "partial 16S ribosomal RNA". It matches the Rfam family "Bacterial small subunit ribosomal RNA". The record is from RNAcentral.
AGAGUUUGAUCAUGGCUCAGAACGAACGCUGGUGGUAUGCUUAACACAUGCAAGUCGAACGGACGUGGCCUAGCUUGCUAGGAUUCUGUCAGUGGCGCACGGGUGAGUAACGCGUGGGAAUCUACCCAAUAGUAUGGAAUAACAACCAGAAAUGGUUGCUAAUACCAUAUACGCCCUUCGGGGGAAAGAUUUAUUGCUAUUGGAUGGGCCCGCGCUAGAUUAGCUAGUUGGUGAGGUAAUGGCUCACCAAGGCUACGAUCUAUAGCAGGUUUGAGAGGAUGAUCUGCCACACUGGGACUGAGAUACGGCCCAGACUCCUAUGGGAGGCAGCAGUGGGGAAUAUUGGACAAUGGACGAAAGUCUGAUCCAGCCAUGCCGCGUGAGUGAAGAAGGCCUUCGGGUUGUAAAACUCUUUUAACAGGGAAGAUAAUGACGGUACCUGUAGAAUAAGCACCGGUUAACUCCGUGCUAGCAGUUGUGGUAAUACGGAGGGUGCUAGCGUUAUUCGGAAUUACUGGGCGUAAAGCGAGCGUAGGCGGUUAGUAAAGUUGGGAGUGAAAGCCCGGGGCUUAACCUCUGAACUGCUUUCAAAACUGCUAGUCUUGAGUGAAGUAGGGGAUGAUGGAAUUCCUAGUGUAGAGGUGAAAUUCUUAGAUAUUAGGAGGAACACCGGUGGCGAAGGCGGUCAUCUGGACUUCAACUGACGCUGAGGCGCGAAAGCGUGGGGAGCAAACAGGAUUAGAUACCCUGGUAGUCCACGCCGUAAACGAUGAGUGCUAGAUAUUGGGAAUUUCUUUCGGUUUCGUACUUAACACGUUAAGCACUCCGCCUGGGGAGUACGAUCGCAAGAUUAAAACUCAAAGGAAUUGACGGGGGCUCGCACAAGUGGUGGAGCAUGCGGUUUAAUUCGAUGCUACGCGAAAAACCUUACCAACCCUUGACAUGGUGAUCGUAGGUUACAGAAAUGUAACCGUCAGUUUUCGGCUGGAUCACACACAGGUGUUGCAUGGCUGUCGUCAGCUCGUGUCGUGAGAUGUUGGGUUAAGUCCCGCAACGAGCGCAACCCUCAUUCUUAUUUGCCAGCGGCUAGGCCGGGAACUAUAAGAAAACUGCCGGUGAUAAACCGGAGGAAGGUGGGGAUGAUGUCAAGUCAUCAUGGCCCUUACGGGUUGGGCUACACGCGUGCUACAAUGGUACUUACAGAGGGAAGCAAUACGGUGACGUGGAGCAAAUCUCAGAAAGCCGAUUUAGUCCGGAUUGGAGUCUGCAACUCCAGAACAUGAAGUUGGAAUCACGAGUAAUCGCGGAUCAGCAUGCCGCGGUGAAUACGUUCUCGGGCCUUGUACACACUGCCCGUCACGCCAUGGGUGUUGGUUUUACCUGAAGCUGGUGAGCUAACGGCAAGGAAGCAGCCGUCCACGGUAGGGUCAGCGACUGGGGUGAAGUCAUAACAAGGUAACCGUA